RNAcentral lists this non-coding RNA (46 nucleotides) under Bacteroides fluxus. The record is from RNAcentral. Lineage: Bacteria; Pseudomonadati; Bacteroidota; Bacteroidia; Bacteroidales; Bacteroidaceae.
GUUGUGAUUUGCUUUCAUUUUCAUAUCUUUGAACCAUUGGAAACAG